CGCGGGGUAGCUCGGCCAGCUCAGAGCAGCCGGAGCAUUCCGGUGGUCGCGGGUUCGAAUCUCCGCCCCCGCAC
This 74-nucleotide transfer RNA is filed under the name Streptomyces bingchenggensis BCW-1. RNAcentral describes it as "tRNA-Cys (GCA) (tRNA-Cys-GCA-3-1)". The record is from RNAcentral. Lineage: Bacteria; Bacillati; Actinomycetota; Actinomycetes; Kitasatosporales; Streptomycetaceae.